AAUUUCUCUCAUAGGUUCAUGAAGAAUUUCCUUUGAAAGAAGCUGCUGCAUCAUGGUCUCUACAAUAGACUCCAUGUCCUGAGAACCAGCCAGCUCCUCAAACUGUUUGACCCAAUCCUCCAUCAUUGGAUCACUUCCAAAGUUCUCCACACUGGGUCUUGGCCCUGCCACUGAUUCCAAUCCUUUAACAGCCUCUCUUGUCUGCUCUCUAAGCUUAUCAAGAGCUUCCGAGACAUGCGAGUCCUUCACCUCCUUGGCAGCCUUUUGCUUCCCUUUAUUCUUAGCUUUCAAAUUGGGUAACGACAUCCCAAGCCCUUGAACCUCACUAGGCAUACAAGAACUCUCUUUCUUGCCCUCUCCAUCCCCAUUUCUUUGAGAAGCAGUAGUGAGAUUGAGGCUCUGAAAAUCAUCCAAAGCACCUAAAAAUAAUGAAUUUCCAAUCAAAAUCAAUUCAAUCUUCUCCUCAAAAUCAAACACUUACCUCAUAACUGUUGCUUUCGGUGUGAAAAAAAACAUUAAUAUCAAACACUGUAUUCACUCCAAAGCAACUGACUAUAUAGGCAAGAAACAGGUUAAUAGAAAUAAAUUGGUCGAAAUGGGUAAAAGGGUGUUUGCUACUUACUGUCAAGAAGUUGGUCUAAAUCAUCAGAGUGGUCCGUAGCCAUGGAUGCCUCUAAGCUCCGCGUCUCCUCUAUUGCCAAAACCUAAUCUUUUUGAAUCAAAGAUAAUGAAUA
Molecule: unclassified non-coding RNA, 734 nt
Filed under: Hevea brasiliensis (rubber tree)
Lineage: Eukaryota; Viridiplantae; Streptophyta; Magnoliopsida; Malpighiales; Euphorbiaceae
Source: RNAcentral